GGUAUAUAAGAACCCGUCUCUUAACUUUUAACUAAAAAAGUUAAGAACCGGUUCUUAAAUAAGAGUUUUAAGAACCGAUUCUUAAAUAAGAGUUUUAAGAACCGGUUCUUAACUUUUUAGUUAAAAGUUAAGAGACGGGUUCUUAUAUACC
Non-coding RNA from Brassica napus (rape), 151 nucleotides. The record is from Rfam. Lineage: Eukaryota; Viridiplantae; Streptophyta; Magnoliopsida; Brassicales; Brassicaceae.